GAAGAGGGAGGCUAGCACGAGCUGUGGGCAGGCUGUACAGUAUGAAGAACCAGACUUCCAGAAUCACGCAUCAUGUCCUGUCUUGUCUCCCUUCCUCCCGCCACAGGGCAGACCUGAACUUUCUUAGGGCUGGAUUGUGUUUUUAAACCUGUUCUUUGGAACCCCAGGGUCCCUCAUAAUUGCUUCAGGCUCUGAGAUGGGGUUUGCAAGGGAAGCCUGAGUUCUUGUAUGUUUGAUGAAAUAACUGGACUUUUUUCAUGCUUUAAAUAUGUGUGAGACACUCAUUUCUGAACCGUCUCUUUAUCUUCUUUCUGUGAUCAUCUACUUAGCAUCUUCCCCAGGCAGUGUUGGUUGCCAAGCACAACUAAGCACUGGGCCAGAAAGUUCCCAGUCAAGUGUGGUUACCUACAGGCAGAAAACAGAUCCCGUCUGUUACAGCAACCCAGAUAAGGAGCCGUGUCAGAGGCUUUGUUGUUUAUACAACCCUUAGAGUGUAUCUUCUUUUUAACUUAGUUUAUUAUUUAACUCCCUCCAAUAUAAAAUAUUGGGCCACAAACUGGUUUCUGUGUGCUAUAAACUCUUUGCUUUAAAUGUGUCAUUAAAAUUUUACCACCAAAUUAAGCUCCCUUGACUUUUCUUAAAUAGGUGUUUGUGACUUUGAAAAAUAUGAGUUGUCUGGGUUAGAGAAAAGAAAGUGGCAGUAGGCUCAAGUUAUUAAGCAGCAGAGGAAAUAUGACCCAAUUUGAUGUUUUUUUAAAGCAAGAGAGAUGAGUCUGUGAGUUUAAAGAUUUUGUAGAAUAAACAAGUUUUUGCAAAAUC
RNAcentral lists this long non-coding RNA (819 nucleotides) under Bos taurus (domestic cattle). RNAcentral describes it as "long non-coding RNA NONBTAT018048". The record is from RNAcentral. Lineage: Eukaryota; Metazoa; Chordata; Mammalia; Artiodactyla; Bovidae.